GGUAAGUUACCGGGACAUCUCGUCCUGGGGCGUCUUGCCAAACGGCCUCCGGAUGCACGGAGGGGGCCUGCUCGCACCCUAUCGUGGUGCUCUUGACCGAGUGUCUCGAUGGGCAGACACGUUUACUUUGAACAAAUUAGAGUGCUCAAAGCAGGCAUAUUUCGCCUGAAUAUUCAGUGCAUGGAAUAAUGGAAGAUGACCUCGGUUCUAUUUUGUUGGUUUUCGGAAUAUCCGAGGUAAUGGUCAAUAGGGACAGACGUGGCCAUUCGUAUUGCGACGUUAGAGGUGAAAUUCUUGGAUCGUCGCAAGACGGACAGAAGCGAAGGCAUUUGCCAAAAAUGUUUUCAUUAAUCAAGAACGAAAGUUAGAGGUUCGAAAGGCGAUCAGAUACCGCCCUAGUUCUAACCAUAAACGAUGCCAGCUAGCGAUCCGCCGAAGUUCCUCCGAUGACUCGGCGGGCAGCUUCCGGGAAACCAAAGCUUUUGGGUUCCGGGGGAAGUAUGGUUGCAAAGCUGAAACUUAAAGGAAUUGACGGAAGGGCACCACCAGGAGUGGAGCCUGCGGCUUAAUUUGACUCAACACGGGAAACCUCACCAGGCCCAGACACCGGAAGGAUUGACAGAUUGAUAGCUCUUUCUUGAUUCGGUGGGUGGUGGUGCAUGGCCGUUCUUAGUUGGUGGAGCGAUUUGUCUGGUUAAUUCCGAUAACGAACGAGACUCUAGCCUGCUAAAUAGGCGUACCUUAUGGUAUCGCGAAGGCCCCCGGCUUCGGCCGGUGGGUUUUUACUACCAACGUACAAACAAAUCUUCUUAGAGGGACAGGCGG
RNAcentral lists this ribosomal RNA (825 nucleotides) under uncultured eukaryote. RNAcentral's name for it is "bacterial SSU rRNA". It matches the Rfam family "Eukaryotic small subunit ribosomal RNA", at positions 704 to 1426 of the family's 1831-position model. The record is from RNAcentral.